GUGGGGAAUAUUGGGCAAUGGGGGAAACCCUGACCCAGCAACGCCGCGUGAAGGAAGACGGUUUUCGGAUUGUAAACUUCUUUUAUCGGGGACGAAAAAAAUGACGGUACCCGAAGAAAAAGCCACGGCUAACUACGUGCCAGCAGCCGCGGUAAUACGUAGGUGGCAAGCGUUGUCCGGAUUUACUGGGUGUAAAGGGCGUGUAGGCGGGACUGCAAGUCAGAUGUGAAAUACCAAGGCUUAACCUUGGGGCUGCAUUUGAAACUGUAGUUCUUGAGUGAUGGAGAGGCAGGCGGAAUUCCUAGUGUAGCGGUGAAAUGCGUAGAUAUUGGGAGGAACACCAGUGGCGAAGGCGCCUUUCUGGACUGUGUCUGACGCUGAGAUGCGAAAGCCAGGGUAGCGAACGGGAUUAGAAACCCUGGUAGUCC
This 428-nucleotide ribosomal RNA is filed under the name uncultured bacterium. RNAcentral's name for it is "partial 16S ribosomal RNA". It matches the Rfam family "Bacterial small subunit ribosomal RNA", at positions 354 to 796 of the family's 1533-position model. The record is from RNAcentral.